This 503-nucleotide ribosomal RNA is filed under the name uncultured Parabacteroides sp. RNAcentral's name for it is "bacterial SSU rRNA". It matches the Rfam family "Bacterial small subunit ribosomal RNA", at positions 27 to 524 of the family's 1533-position model. Lineage: Bacteria; Pseudomonadati; Bacteroidota; Bacteroidia; Bacteroidales; Tannerellaceae. The record is from RNAcentral.
GGAUGAACGCUAGCGACAGGCUUAACACAUGCAAGUCGAGGGGCAGCACAGGUAGCAAUACCGGGUGGCGACCGGCGCACGGGUGAGUAACGCGUAUGCAACUUACCUAUCAGAGGGGGAUAACCCGGCGAAAGUCGGACUAAUACCGCAUGAAGCAGGGAUCCCGCAUGGGAAUAUUUGCUAAAGAUUCAUCGCUGAUAGAUAGGCAUGCGUUCCAUUAGGCAGUUGGCGGGGUAACGGCCCACCAAACCGACGAUGGAUAGGGGUUCUGAGAGGAAGGUCCCCCACAUUGGUACUGAGACACGGACCAAACUCCUACGGGAGGCAGCAGUGAGGAAUAUUGGUCAAUGGGCGUAAGCCUGAACCAGCCAAGUCGCGUGAGGGAUGAAGGUUCUAUGGAUCGUAAACCUCUUUUAUAAGGGAAUAAAGUGCGGGACGUGUCCCGUUUUGUAUGUACCUUAUGAAUAAGGAUCGGCUAACUCCGUGCCAGCAGCCGCGGUAAU